RNAcentral lists this ribosomal RNA (253 nucleotides) under uncultured bacterium. Its description in RNAcentral is "partial 16S ribosomal RNA". It matches the Rfam family "Bacterial small subunit ribosomal RNA", at positions 524 to 776 of the family's 1533-position model. The record is from RNAcentral.
UACAGAGGGGGCAAGCGUGGUUCGGAAUUACUGGGCGUAAAGGGCGCGUAGGCGGCCUGUUAAGUCGAACGUGAAAUCCCCGGGCUCAACCCGGGAACUGCGUCCGAUACUGGCAGGCUUGAAUUCGGGAGAGGGAUGUGGAAUUCCAGGUGUAGCGGUGAAAUGCGUAGAUAUCUGGAGGAACACCGGUGGCGAAGGCGGCAUCCUGGACCGAUAUUGACGCUGAUGCGCGAAAGCCAGGGGAGCAAACGGG